CACGUAGGGUGCGAGCGUUGUCCGGAAUUAUUGGGCGUAAAGAGCUCGUAGGCGGUGUGUCGCGUCGGCCGUGAAAACCUGCAGCUUAACUGUGGGCGUGCGGUCGAUACGGGCAUCACUGGAGUUCGGCAGGGAGACUGGAAUUCCUGGUGUAGCGGUGAAAUGCGCAGAUAUCAGGAGGAACACCGGUGGCGAAGGCGGGUCUCUGGGCCGAUACUGACGCUGAGGAGCGAAAGCGUGGGGAGCGAACAGG
RNAcentral lists this ribosomal RNA (253 nucleotides) under uncultured bacterium. RNAcentral's name for it is "partial 16S ribosomal RNA". It matches the Rfam family "Bacterial small subunit ribosomal RNA", at positions 524 to 776 of the family's 1533-position model. The record is from RNAcentral.